GAUGAACGCUAGCGGCAGGCUUAACACAUGCAAGUCGAGGGGCAGCAUGAGGGUUAGCAAUAACCCUUGAUGGCGACCGGCGCAAGGGUGCGUAACGCGUGAGAAACCUGCCUCUCAGUGGGGGACAACAGUUGGAAACGACUGCUAAUACCGCAUAAUGUAUCCGGAGGGCAUCCCCUGGAUACCAAAGCUUUAUGUGCUGAGAGAUGGUCUCGCGUCUGAUUAGCUAGUUGGCGGGGUAACGGCCCACCAAGGCGACGAUCAGUAGCCGGUCUGAGAGGAUGAACGGCCACAUUGGGACUGAGAUACGGCCCAGACUCCUACGGGAGGCAGCAGUGGGGAAUAUUGGGCAAUGGGGGCAACCCUGACCCAGCAACGCCGCGUGAAGGAAGAAGGCUUCGGGUUGUAACUUCUUUACCAGGGACGAAGAACGUGACGGUACC
RNAcentral lists this ribosomal RNA (443 nucleotides) under uncultured bacterium. RNAcentral's name for it is "bacterial SSU rRNA". It matches the Rfam family "Bacterial small subunit ribosomal RNA", at positions 28 to 479 of the family's 1533-position model. The record is from RNAcentral.